Dendrobium catenatum is the source of this 1936-nucleotide RNA transcript. It is a transcript of the gene named tRNA (guanine(9)-N1)-methyltransferase-like, with no coding region annotated. The transcript has 5 exons. The record is from RefSeq and is a predicted model, not a curated record. Lineage: Eukaryota; Viridiplantae; Streptophyta; Magnoliopsida; Asparagales; Orchidaceae.
AUAUCCUAAACCAUUAGGGUUUGUUUGGGACGAUGUCACUGCUGCUUUACUUUAUAAAAAGUUAUUGGAUAAUUGUUUGGGGCAUUGCGGCAGAACUUGGCUAGAAAAAAUUUGCGGCUCAUAUCUGCUUCCUGCGACCUUUCACUAUCUCCUGCAGUCGACUGCGUUCCGCAGUUUCGAUGGGCAAAAAUGACGUAAAUCCCCACUUGAAAAUAUUCGCCACCUUCGUCCCAUCCGUCGAUGCCUUUCGCACAAGUAGUCUCUUCUCCUGCUCUCCACCACCUCCUUCGGCAACUUUCUCCCUUGAAAGCUUAAUCUCUUUUGACGAGUCCCACACCCCCUCUUCCUCCUUCGAUGACUCUAACUCCUCCAUCCAUUAACCUAGGGUUUGCCCAUAUUAAUUCGCCGCCGCCACCGCCGAUGACAACAACGCAGAAGAUAUCGCCCGGAGAUGGAGAUGUCCGGCUGGUGGCAAAGCUUUGUGCCGUUUAAAGUGAGUGAAAUUGAUAGGAGCACGAAAAUGGUUUUUGGAACAAGCCUUUUUGUGGGAGGAGAGGAACAGGAAGGGAAAAGGUUCGAGCUUUGAAGAGCAAAAUGGAGGAUGAGGCGAUUGGGGUGAAAUAUCGCUGUUGCUUAUAGGUAAAAAGAAGCAUGCUCUGCUCGAGUAGUAUUUCAGCAUGUUUCCUAUAGUUUUUAUAAUAAAUAUUAAAACUCAUGUAGACCAUUUGAGUGCAAAAUGUAAUGAAUAUUUUUUGACAUGAAGCAUAUGCAAACUAGAGCAAAUAUUAGAACAGUGAAAACAAGAUGCAAUUAUUUAGCUUUUGAGCUAAGCUAGAAGAGAAUUGAUCUGUAACUCAAUACUUGCAGGUGUUGGGAGACAUUUAUGGUGAUAUCGGUGGCUUACUCUUCAUGGGUUUACCCCUUUGAGGUUGCCUUUAUGAAAGCAGUUGCAAAAGGUGGUCUUUGCAUUGCUGAUACCAUCGUGGAUCUCUUCUUCGCAAUCAACAUAGACAUUCUUUGUGAUUAUUACAUGACUCGAGAACUUAGAUGCUUAUUCGUGAUCCUAAAAAAAUUGCUAUCAGCUGAUGCAGAGACCACCCUUGAGGAGCUUGAUACAAACAGAAUUUAUAUCAUGGGUGAGCUUGUUGAUCGGAACAGAUGGAAAGGCAUUACGAUGAAGAAAGGAAAUGAACAAGGGAUCCAAUCAGCAAAGCUGCCAAUUGGAAACUAUAUCAAGUUAGCAAGCUCGCAGGUCUUUUUUCAUCAACUGAAAGUUGAACCACUUUAAACUUCAGAAUGAAGAGAAGCUCUUCCAAUGCUAUUAUCCAAUCUAUGGUUCUUGAAGAACUUGCCAAGGGAGUUGACUGAAACAGCACACACAGUUUACUACAAGAGGGCUAGUAAGCCGCCGUUCGCAAGAGGAGCUGCUGUCUCAAUUGCCUUUAUUUCUUCCUGCUAUCUUUGACGCAUUUGGAAGUCAAAGCAUGGAUGUUAGAAAGAUAUCUACAUCUUGCUUGGCAAAUCAUUCUUACCAUACUUGGAGGGACUAAGCAGUACACAACUCCGCUUAUUUACUAUAUAUGCCAACCGUAUUUCUCAAGCGAGGUCCAUUGCUACAGGUGAAGCUAAACAUGGCUGAAAGUAUCUACUCUUUCAUCAUCUUCUUCUUCUUCCUCUUAUUUGUUUGUACCGUUAUAUGAGGCUGUUGAUUCAUUGUUGUUCAUUUGUAUGGUUCAAUGGGCUUUUCUGGACGAGGAAGCUGUUUUCUUUUGUUCAAGGGUGUUUGUAUAUGAUUUGUGUGGCCGCCGUAAAAGUUGCAAGUGUGAGCGAAUGAAAUCCUUGCAUAUUAGUAGCAAUAUGUAAUGCUAGAUAAACCUCUUCCAAGUUUGUUUUUGUUUUUAUAGUAUAUUGGUAAUGCAGAGUUUUAUUCUCAAAA